CGGGGUGUAGCGCAGCUUGGUAGCGCAUCCGCUUUGGGAGCGGAAGGCCGCAGGUUCAAAUCCUGUCACCCCGACCC
RNAcentral lists this transfer RNA (77 nucleotides) under Mycobacterium sp. RNAcentral's name for it is "tRNA-Pro". It matches the Rfam family "tRNA". Rfam says of the family: Transfer RNA (tRNA) molecules are approximately 80 nucleotides in length. Their secondary structure includes four short double-helical elements and three loops (D, anti-codon, and T loops). Lineage: Bacteria; Bacillati; Actinomycetota; Actinomycetes; Mycobacteriales; Mycobacteriaceae. The record is from RNAcentral. RNAcentral also lists the same sequence under 3 other names.